RNAcentral lists this ribosomal RNA (495 nucleotides) under uncultured bacterium. RNAcentral describes it as "partial 16S ribosomal RNA". It matches the Rfam family "Bacterial small subunit ribosomal RNA", at positions 28 to 507 of the family's 1533-position model. The record is from RNAcentral.
GACGAACGCUGGCGGCGUGCCUAAUACAUGCAAGUAGAACGCUGAAGGAGGAGCUUGCUUCUCUGGAUGAGUUGCGAACGGGUGAGUAACGCGUAGGUAACCUGCCUGGUAGCGGGGGAUAACUAUUGGAAACGAUAGCUAAUACCGCAUAAUAGUAGAUGUUGCAUGACAUUUGCUUAAAAGGUGCAAUUGCAUCACUACCAGAUGGACCUGCGUUGUAUUAGCUAGUUGGUGGGGUAACGGCUCACCAAGGCGACGAUACAUAGCCGCCCUGAGAGGGUGAUCGGCCACACUGGGACUGAGACACGGCCCAGACUCCUACGGGAGGCAGCAGUAGGGAAUCUUCGGCAAUGGACGGAAGUCUGACCGAGCAACGCCGCGUGAGUGAAGAAGGUUUUCGGAUCGUAAAGCUCUGUUGUAAGAGAAGAACGAGUGUGAGAGUGGAAAGUUCACACUGUGACGGUAUCUUACCAGAAAGGGACGGCUAACUACGUG